GUGAAGUUGCCACAAGCAAAAAGUUUCUUUAAAGCCGGCUUCUCAUGGAUAGAUCAAGCGCUACAUAAGAGAAACAUAUUUUUCUUUACAAAUACUACCAUUCCUGAUUAGCCAAAGCCACAAACAAUGCAAGAACCAGCUCCUCCUCCUCAAUCCUUAAAUUUGUCUCGUGGUGUCAUUAAGUUCUCUGAACUCUCAAAAUGCAUUUUCACGUACUCAAAUUUUAUCUAGAUAUAAUUAAACUCUAACUAGCCCAUAUGUUUGUCUCUACUGCUUCUUC
Molecule: long non-coding RNA, 280 nt
Filed under: Sorghum bicolor (sorghum)
Lineage: Eukaryota; Viridiplantae; Streptophyta; Magnoliopsida; Poales; Poaceae
Description: long non-coding RNA (SBIC_LNC011103)
Source: RNAcentral